Molecule: ribosomal RNA, 1392 nt
Filed under: Streptomyces sp. ASM214
Lineage: Bacteria; Bacillati; Actinomycetota; Actinomycetes; Kitasatosporales; Streptomycetaceae
Description: bacterial SSU rRNA
Rfam family: Bacterial small subunit ribosomal RNA
Source: RNAcentral
UGCAGUCGAACGAUGAAGCCUUUCGGGGUGGAUUAGUGGCGAACGGGUGAGUAACACGUGGGCAAUCUGCCCUUCACUCUGGGACAAGCCCUGGAAACGGGGUCUAAUACCGGAUAUGACACACGACCGCAUGGUCUGUGUGUGGAAAGCUCCGGCGGUGAAGGAUGAGCCCGCGGCCUAUCAGCUUGUUGGUGGGGUGAUGGCCUACCAAGGCGACGACGGGUAGCCGGCCUGAGAGGGCGACCGGCCACACUGGGACUGAGACACGGCCCAGACUCCUACGGGAGGCAGCAGUGGGGAAUAUUGCACAAUGGGCGAAAGCCUGAUGCAGCGACGCCGCGUGAGGGAUGACGGCCUUCGGGUUGUAAACCUCUUUCAGCAGGGAAGAAGCGAGAGUGACGGUACCUGCAGAAGAAGCGCCGGCUAACUACGUGCCAGCAGCCGCGGUAAUACGUAGGGCGCAAGCGUUGUCCGGAAUUAUUGGGCGUAAAGAGCUCGUAGGCGGCUUGUCACGUCGGAUGUGAAAGCCCGGGGCUUAACCCCGGGUCUGCAUUCGAUACGGGCAGGCUAGAGUGUGGUAGGGGAGAUCGGAAUUCCUGGUGUAGCGGUGAAAUGCGCAGAUAUCAGGAGGAACACCGGUGGCGAAGGCGGAUCUCUGGGCCAUUACUGACGCUGAGGAGCGAAAGCGUGGGGAGCGAACAGGAUUAGAUACCCUGGUAGUCCACGCCGUAAACGUUGGGAACUAGGUGUUGGCGACAUUCCACGUCGUCGGUGCCGCAGCUAACGCAUUAAGUUCCCCGCCUGGGGAGUACGGCCGCAAGGCUAAAACUCAAAAGGAAUUGACGGGGGCCCGCACAAAGCAGCGGAGCAUGUGGCUUAAUUCGACGCAACGCGAAGAACCUUUACCAAGGCUUGACAUACACCGGAAAACCCUGGAGACAGGGUCCCCCUUGUGGUCGGUGUACAGGUGGUGCAUGGCUGUCGUCAGCUCGUGUCGUGAGAUGUUGGGUUAAGUCCCGCAACGAGCGCAACCCUUGUUCUGUGUUGCCAGCAUGCCCUUCGGGGUGAUGGGGACUCACAGGAGACUGCCGGGGUCAACUCGGAGGAAGGUGGGGACGACGUCAAGUCAUCAUGCCCCUUAUGUCUUGGGCUGCACACGUGCUACAAUGGCCGGUACAAUGAGCUGCGAUACCGCGAGGUGGAGCGAAUCUCAAAAAGCCGGUCUCAGUUCGGAUUGGGGUCUGCAACUCGACCCCAUGAAGUCGGAGUUGCUAGUAAUCGCAGAUCAGCAUUGCUGCGGUGAAUACGUUCCCGGGCCUUGUACACACCGCCCGUCACGUCACGAAAGUCGGUAACACCCGAAGCCGGUGGCCCAACCCCUUGUGGGAGGGA